Molecule: ribosomal RNA, 409 nt
Filed under: uncultured bacterium
Lineage: Bacteria
Description: bacterial SSU rRNA
Rfam family: Bacterial small subunit ribosomal RNA
Source: RNAcentral
UCGGGAAUUUUGGGCAAUGGGCGAAAGCCUGACCCAGCAACGCCGCGUGAAGGAUGAAGUAUUUCGGUAUGUAAACUUCGAAAGAAUAGGAAGAAUAAAUGACGGUACUAUUUAUAAGGUCCGGCUAACUACGUGCCAGCAGCCGCGGUAAUACGUAGGGACCAAGCGUUGUUCGGAUUUACUGGGCGUAAAGGGCGCGUAGGCGGCAAUUCAAGUCAUCUGUGAAAUCUCCGGGCUUAACUCGGAACGGUCAGAUGAUACUGCUUUGCUAGAGUGCAGAAGGGGCAAUCGGAAUUCUUGGUGUAGCGGUGAAAUGCGUAGAUACUGGGAGGAACAUCUGAGGCGAAGGCGACUAUCUGGAUCAUAACUGACGCUGAGGUACGAAAGCAUGGGUAGCAAACAGGAUUAG